CAUGUCUUUUUGAUUUUAAUUUAAAGUUUAAUCUGCUCGAUGAUUAAUUAAAUUGCCGCAGUAUUUUGACUGUGCUAAGGUAGCAUAAUCAUUAGUUUUUUAAUUGAAAACUGGAAUGAAUGAUUGGACAAGAUGAUUUCUGUCUCUUUUUAAAGUUGGUUUUAAUUUUAUUUUUAAGUUAAAAAGCUUAAAUAUAAUUAAAAGACGAGAAGACCCUAUAGAGUUUAACAUUUAUUUAUUUUUUAGUAAUUAAUAUAUUUUGUUUAUUUGGGGUGAUUUGAAGAUUAAAUAAAUUCUUUAAAUGUUAUAUUGAUGAUAUUUAAUUUUAAAUAUUAAAUAUUUUAAAUUUAAUAAAAAUUACCUUAGGGAUAACAGCGUAAUUUUUCUUUAAAGUUCUUAUUGUAAGAAGAGUUUGCGACCUCGAUGUUGGAUUAAAAUUUAUUAUUGGCGCAGUAGCUUUUAUAUUGAGUCUGUUCGACUUUUAAAAUUUUACAUGAUCUGAGU
RNAcentral lists this ribosomal RNA (504 nucleotides) under Platerodrilini sp. UPOL 001382. Its description in RNAcentral is "partial 16S ribosomal RNA". The stretch from base 368 to 504 matches the Rfam family "Bacterial large subunit ribosomal RNA", at positions 2473 to 2610 of the family's 2925-position model. Lineage: Eukaryota; Metazoa; Arthropoda; Insecta; Coleoptera; Lycidae. The record is from RNAcentral.